This 547-nucleotide ribosomal RNA is filed under the name Oceanobacillus oncorhynchi subsp. incaldanensis. RNAcentral's name for it is "bacterial SSU rRNA". It matches the Rfam family "Bacterial small subunit ribosomal RNA", at positions 104 to 637 of the family's 1533-position model. Lineage: Bacteria; Bacillati; Bacillota; Bacilli; Caryophanales; Bacillaceae. The record is from RNAcentral.
GGGUGAGUAACACGUAGGCAACCUGCCUGUAAGACUGGGAUAACUCGCGGAAACGCGAGCUAAUACCGGAUAACACUUUCUAUCACCUGAUGGAAAGUUGAAAGGCGGCUUUUGCUGUCACUUACAGAUGGGCCUGCGGCGCAUUAGCUAGUUGGUGAGGUAACGGCUCACCAAGGCGACGAUGCGUAGCCGACCUGAGAGGGUGAUCGGCCACACUGGGACUGAGACACGGCCCAGACUCCUACGGGAGGCAGCAGUAGGGAAUCUUCCGCAAUGGACGAAAGUCUGACGGAGCAACGCCGCGUGAGUGAUGAAGGUUUUCGGAUCGUAAAACUCUGUUGUCAGGGAAGAACAAGUACGAUAGUAACUGAUCGUACCUUGACGGUACCUGACCAGAAAGCCACGGCUAACUACGUGCCAGCAGCCGCGGUAAUACGUAGGUGGCAAGCGUUGUCCGGAAUUAUUGGGCGUAAAGCGCUCGCAGGCGGUUCUUUAAGUCUGAUGUGAAAUCUUGCGGCUCAACCGCAAACGUGCAUUGGAAACUGGA